Molecule: ribosomal RNA, 488 nt
Filed under: uncultured bacterium
Lineage: Bacteria
Description: partial 16S ribosomal RNA
Rfam family: Bacterial small subunit ribosomal RNA
Source: RNAcentral
GACGAACGCUGGCGGCGUGCUUAACACAUGCAAGUCGAACGGAAAGGCCCUGCUUUUGUGGGGUGCUCGAGUGGCGAACGGGUGAGUAACACGUGAGUAACCUGCCCUUGACUUUGGGAUAACUUCAGGAAACUGGGGCUAAUACCGGAUAGGAGCUCCUGCUGCAUGGUGGGGGUUGGAAAGUUUCGGCGGUUGGGGAUGGACUCGCGGCUUAUCAGCUUGUUGGUGGGGUAGUGGCUUACCAAGGCUUUGACGGGUAGCCGGCCUGAGAGGGUGACCGGUCGCACGGGAAGUGGGACACGGUCGAGACUCAUACGGGAGGCAGGAGGGGGGAAUAGGGGACACUGGGCGAAAGCCGGAUCCAGCCAUGCCGCGUGUUUGAAGAAGGUCUUCGGAUGGUAAAGCACUUUGAGUGGGGAGGAAAGGCAGUAAGUUAAGACCGUGCUGUGUUGACGUGAGUAACAGAAGAAGCACCGGCUAGCUUCGUG